AGACACAGGUAUUCAGGAUCAUCAACAAGAGCUUCGUUGAUACAUCCGAGAGUUCGAGUUAGCUAUGGUGAGCCUCCUUGCUUCCGGAGGAUUUCAUUUACCUUUCAGUUAUAUCAGUUGUUAGGAUGUCGUGGGUCUUGUCCCGACUUCCAUCUUUAUCAGUUAGAGGCUUCAUAGAUAGUCAGUCUAGUUGAGAAGUCUGUAU
Molecule: long non-coding RNA, 205 nt
Filed under: Solanum tuberosum (potato)
Lineage: Eukaryota; Viridiplantae; Streptophyta; Magnoliopsida; Solanales; Solanaceae
Description: long non-coding RNA (STUB_LNC005514)
Source: RNAcentral